This 506-nucleotide ribosomal RNA is filed under the name uncultured bacterium. Its description in RNAcentral is "bacterial SSU rRNA". It matches the Rfam family "Bacterial small subunit ribosomal RNA", at positions 40 to 518 of the family's 1533-position model. The record is from RNAcentral.
CGGCGUGCCUAAUACAUGCAAGUCGAACGGUCUUUCUAUGGAAGCUUGCUUCCACUGAGAAGAUAGUGGCGAACGGGUGAGUAACACGUGGGUAACCUGCCCAUAAGAGGGGGAUAACAUCCGGAAACGGGUGCUAAUACCGCAUAGUUUUCUUGAUCGCAUGAUUGAGAAAGGAAAGACGGCCUUUGUGCUGUCGCUUAUGGAUGGACCCGCGGCGUAUUAGUUAGUUGGUGAGGUAACGGCUCACCAAGACGAUGAUACGUAGCCGACCUGAGAGGGUGAUCGGCCACAUUGGGACUGAGACACGGCCCAAACUCCUACGGGAGGCAGCAGUAGGGAAUCUUCCGCAAUGGACGAAAGUCUGACGGAGCAACGCCGCGUGAGUGAAGAAAAGGUUUUCGGAUCGUAAAACUCUGUUGUCAGAGAAGAACAAGUUGGAGAGUAACUGCUCCAGCCUUGACGGUAUCUGACCAGAAAGCCACGGCUAACUACGUGCCAGCCGCUGC